Molecule: long non-coding RNA, 331 nt
Filed under: Homo sapiens (human)
Lineage: Eukaryota; Metazoa; Chordata; Mammalia; Primates; Hominidae
Description: non-protein coding lnc-BTNL2-1:2
Source: RNAcentral
AGGGAGGAUGGUGGAUUUUCCAGGCUACAAUCUGUCUGGUGCAGUCGCCUCCUUCCUAUUCAUCCUGCUGACAAUGAAGCAGUCAACUUUAGAGUCAUUGGCCCUGCUCAUCCUAUCCUGGCCGGGGUUGGGGAAGAUGCCCUGUUAACCUGCCAGCUACUCCCCAAGAGGACCACAAUGCACGUGGAGGUGAGGUGGUACCGCUCAGAGCCCAGCACACCUGUGUUUGUGCACAGGGAUGGAGUGGAGGUGACUGAGAUGCAGAUGGAGGAGUACAGAGGCUGGGUAGAGUGGAUAGAGAAUGGCAUUGCAAAGGGAAAUGUGGCACUGA